This 93-nucleotide non-coding RNA is filed under the name Desulfoscipio geothermicus. Lineage: Bacteria; Bacillati; Bacillota; Clostridia; Eubacteriales; Desulfallaceae. The record is from RNAcentral.
GCCGUAUACAUGGAAACAUGUACGUACGGUUCGGGGGAGAAUGCACCAAAACCUACUCAAGUAAUUGAGUAAGGCGUGGUGCAUUUAUCCCAC